Piliocolobus tephrosceles (Ugandan red Colobus) is the source of this 3873-nucleotide long non-coding RNA. The record is from Ensembl. Lineage: Eukaryota; Metazoa; Chordata; Mammalia; Primates; Cercopithecidae.
AAAUAAAAAGGUAUUAAACAAUGACCAUAUAAUUAUAACAUAUGAUAAAAUAAGAAAAAUUUUGAUGUUAAUUUUUGUGAGGUUUGUUAAGAUUGUUGUUUAUACCAAUGACAUUGAAAAUGAAUUAUUAAAUAAAAAAUUAAUGAUGAAAUUUUUUAAAUAUUAUGUUAUUGAAUAUGAUGAAAUGUGGUUCGACGCGUAUUACAAAUGUGUGGAGAGUAUAGAUGAUACAUAUGUAUACGGCAUAGACAUCGGAAAUAGUAACGUUGGUAUAUAUAAUACGAAUGAUAAUUGUGCAAGAAACAAUAGUACGGACAUGUUUAGGAGAUAUUCCAAUACCAGUAGUUACGACGACAGUCACAUUCAGAAUACCCGAAGCGAUUUGAAACAAAAAAUGUUUGCCGUGUUAAAAACGUUUAUACAUCUUCACCACAACAUGUAUAAUUUAAUUUUUGAAGAAUUUUUAAAAUUUUUUAGUUUUUAUGACCAAAUAAAUAUUUCAAAUUUAUUUCAUCCAAUUAGGAACAUAAAACAUUAUUUUAUCUAUAACGUUAUGAAUGCUUAUUAUUCUUUAUUUACAUUUUUAAUUAGUGUGUUAGUUGAAUGUAAGAAAGUUAUUACGGAUGACGAUUCGCAAGUAAAUGACAAUAUUAUUGUUUAUGCUGGGUUACAGCGGAAGAAACAGGUUGAAAAUUGUAAUGCUGUUAGUAGUGAUAGUAGCAUUAGUGGUAGUGGCAUUAGUGGUAGUGGCAUUAGUGGUAGUGGCAUUAGUGGUAGUGGCAUUAGUGGUAGUGGCAUUAGUGGUAGUGGCAUUAGUGGUAGUAACAUUAGUGGUAGUAACAUUAUUGGUAGUAACAUUAUUGGUGGAAAUAACAAUGGAGAGGAUUCCUGUAAGGCUUAUAUACAAAAUAGAGUGAGUUUGAAAGAGUCCAUUGAAAAAAAAAUUUCAGAAUUAUAUAAUGAAACUAAUUUAAAUGUGACUAACUCAGUUUACAACCAACAAUAUCCAGGCAUUUCAUCUACAGAAAAAUAUGGUAUCAUCAUGAAUAAUAUACAAACAAAUGCAUUAAAUAAGAGUAGUAGUAGUAGUAGUAUGGACGAUUAUAAACAAAACUAUAUUGAAGAAAAGAUUUACGAAUUAAUAGAAGAAAAAAAAAAAAUAGAAUUAGAAUUAUUUAUAAUAAAAUGUAUAGAAGAGUAUAAAAGCUCGCCAUAUUAUGAACUAGACCCUGGUUGUAUUAAUAAUAUUCUAUAUUGUUAUAAAAAAAUAAUACAAAACGAUUUUUUACAAUUCGAAAAAGUUUCUUCUAAUUUAUUUUUUUUUGAAAUAAAACGACUGCAGUGUAUAGCUGCAAAUACGUAUGUUCUAAAUUAUGAUAAAGAGUUGGCUUAUUUUAUGAUGGAAACUUUGUUGAAAAAUGUUGUUCAAGGGGAAAAUGUAAGUACCCCUGGUAGUACCACUAGUAAUACCAUUGGUAGUAGCAAUAAUAACAAAAGCACAAUGUCGCUAGAAUUAAAAAAAAACUACUUAUCCAUUUUUAGUUCAAUUAUUUUACAAUUAAAAAAUAACCUUCCUAAUGAUGUUAUAAAAAGCAUUUUACAUACACUCAUCGAAUAUAGUACAAAAGUAAAAACACAAUUGAAACAAAAUAAAGAGUUGUUUUUUUGUGUAUUCACAGUGCUAUCUAUUUUAUGUAUGAAUAAUGUAAAUGAAAAGAUGGUAUAUAUAAACUUAUUUAUGCAAGAAGUGUAUCAGUUUAUAACAAACUUGAAUAAACAAGUAACAUCUUUUGAAACAUUAUAUUCUUUUUUAUAUAAUAAUAAUUAUGAACAAACAGAAGAAAUAAAAGUUUGCUUAUUUAACUGUUAUAAUAUACUUAUACAUUAUUUUAAUAUUUUUACUUUAUAUAAAAUGGAUAUAUGUAUAAAAAAUAAUGAAUCAGAUAAAUUAGAAAUUAAAAACAGUAAAGUAUAUUUUAACAGACUAAAUAGGUACACAGUAUCAAUUUCGUCGAAAUAUGAUCAAGAGUUAGAAAUGAUUAUAAAUGAAAACUCGUUUUUAAUCAAAGAAAACGAAUUUAUCCAAAUGAACAUGCUCCUUUUUACUAAUAUGUUGUCCAUUUACAACGUAUUUAACGAUUUUUUAAGAAACAAUAUUAACGUGGAUACAUACCCUGCUAUUUUUACAGAAAUAAGAUAUUUUUAUUUGAGCGAUAGUGGAAAGGCUUAUGUACAUGUGUAUCUGGAAGGUAAAAAAAAAAAAAAAAAAAAAAAUAAAAUAAAAAAUACCAAUAAUAAUGCAAAUAGCACAAAUGACAGAAAUAUCACAAAUAGCACAAAUUGCACAAAUAAAGGGCCUGUUAUGGGAUCCAUCACUAACAGUACCAACAUGGGAAGUAGCUUAAUAAAUACACAGGAAAAUAACAAGCCAAAUGAAAUCCAAAUGAAACUAAACAACACACUGCGAUUAAAAAAUAUACACAAAAAAAUAUGUGAAGUAAUUAAAAGGUUUAUUACUGAAGGCUUUAUAUUCUUAUAUAAUGAUACGCUGACUUUAUUUAACAAUAUACUUUGUUUGGGUUUACAGUAUAGCCCUUAUUAUUUUAUUAAUGACAAUGUUUUAACUAUAUAUGUUUGUUUAAGUGAACAAAUAAAAUUUUUAAUUACUAAUAAAAUUAUGAACAUGUUAAUAAUACAUUGGUAUGUUAAUAUAUUUUUUGUAUUUUUUAAAGCACAUUGUAUAUAUUUUAAAAAUGAAUAUGAGCACAUUAUGAAAAUUAAAAACAGUUUAAACGCGGAAAAUGAAAUAAAAGAAGAACAUUAUUAUAUAUACCAUAAAAUGUUGUUUAGCAGUAAAAGCUACAUGAACAACUAUUUGAAAUUAUGUCGAAACUUGUUUGUAAUGACUAGUAAUUUAAGGGUGGGAGUUACCACUGGUAUUGUAAGUGCAGGCGCAAGCACAAACACAAACACAAACCUAAGUGCAGGCGCAAGCACAAACACAAACACAAACCUAAGUACAGGCGCAAGCACAAACACAAACACAAACCUAAGUGCAGGCACAAGCACAAACAAGACUAACCACCUGUUUUACUAUCACAUUUAUAAUUACCAAAAAGAAUGUUUGAUUGAUUAUUUUUUAUUAACCUCCAAUUACAUGCUUACCUACUACGACUGUAACAUAAUAAAAAAAAGUUUAAGUUUGUUUAUAGAUAUUUCAAAUUCAAUUACAUUCUUAAAUUUUGAUGCAUCCUCUUUUAGUAUAUUAUUAAAAAUUAUGAAAACUCUUUUGUCCAUAUUUUUAUUUUAUGAAGUAGUAGUGCUGACAUUGCAAGGAGAUGCUAGGAUGUCACAUGGCCAUGAUAAACAGAAUAAAAGUUACAUUUGUGGAAAUUAUAAUAAUAACAGUAGUAAUUGUACUACUAGUGCUAGUGGCAUAACCGAAGAAAUAUAUACGGGAGACAUGAAUACGUUUAUGAAAAACGAUGUGAGCAAUUUAAAUUCAUAUUUAAACGUUUUUACCGACUCCUUUAUAAAAAUAGCUAAAAAUUAUUUUAUUUUGCACAAGCAAGCGUUUAACAUAAAUACAGAUACAGAUACAGAUACUGUUACUGCUACUGCUACUGCUACUGUUAGGGACACCAUACUAAAUAAACUUGUUCAUGUAGACACGGUUAGACAGUUUUUUUUACUCUUUGACAAUUUACAAACUCCGUCCAACACAUUAAAUGCCGAAACUGUUAUUAAUGAUUUGAUAAUUACUGGUGAAUCGAAUUGUUUAAAAUAUUUUUUAAUAAAUAGUAGGAAGGAAAAAAUUAAAAAGAGUUAAUUUUUUUUUUUUUUUUUUUUCAUGUUUAGUGGACGUACAUACGU